Molecule: ribosomal RNA, 552 nt
Filed under: Lomentospora prolificans
Lineage: Eukaryota; Fungi; Ascomycota; Sordariomycetes; Microascales; Microascaceae
Description: Scedosporium prolificans Eukaryotic small subunit ribosomal RNA
Rfam family: Eukaryotic small subunit ribosomal RNA
Source: Rfam by way of RNAcentral
UGCCCGGGUGUGGAAACCAAGAUAUUAUCAUGAGAAAAAUUAAACUGACCAGUGGCGGCCUUCAUGUACAGUCACUGCACGGACAGAAGACAGUGGUUAAUUGGGUGCUUUUUGUUGGUUUCCGAGCCCCGACGUAAUGAAUAAUAGGGACAAUCGGGUGCAACAGUAUUCAAUUGUCAGAGGUGAAAUUCUUGGAUCUAUUGAGGACUAACUACAACGAAAGCAUUUGCCUAGGAUGUUUUCAUUGAUAAGGAACGAAAGAUAGGGGAUCGGAGACGAGCAGAUACCGUCGUAGUCUUAACUAUAGACGAGGCCGACUAGGGAUCGGAUGAUGUUAUUCUUUGACGCGUUCUGCACCUUUCGAGAAAUCAAAGUGCUUGGUCCUCAGGGGGGGUAUGGCCGAACGUCUGAUACUUCAAGUAAUUGACUGAAGUGCUUCACCAUGGGUGGACCCUGCGGCGUAAUUUGACUCAUCCCGGGGGUUCUCACAGUAUCUAGACCCAGUGAGGAUUGACAUUACGAUGGGUCCGGCCUGAUUCGACGGGAUGGUUU